Molecule: ribosomal RNA, 895 nt
Filed under: Botryosphaeria fusispora
Lineage: Eukaryota; Fungi; Ascomycota; Dothideomycetes; Botryosphaeriales; Botryosphaeriaceae
Description: partial 28S large subunit ribosomal RNA
Rfam family: Eukaryotic large subunit ribosomal RNA
Source: RNAcentral
CAUAUCAAUAAGCGGAGGAAAAGAAACCAACAGGGAUUGCCUUAGUAACGGCGAGUGAAGCGGCAACAGCUCAAAUUUGAAAGCUGGCUCCUUUGGAGUCCGCGUUGUAAUUUGUAGAGGAUGAUUCGGCAAGGGCUCCCGCCUAAGUCUCCUGGAACGGAGCGUCAUAGAGGGUGAGAAUCCCGUAUGCGGUGGGCUGCCUAAGCCAUGUGAAUCUCCUUCGACGAGUCGAGUUGUUUGGGAAUGCAGCUCUAAAUGGGAGGUAAAUUUCUUCUAAAGCUAAAUACCGGCCAGAGACCGAUAGCGCACAAGUAGAGUGAUCGAAAGAUGAAAAGCACUUUGGAAAGAGAGUUAAAAAGUACGUGAAAUUGUUGAAAGGGAAGCGCUUGCAGCCAGACUUGUCCGCAGUUGCUCAGCCGGUCUCCUGACCGGUGUACUCUUCUGCGGCCAGGCCAGCAUCAGUUCGGGCGGUCGGAUAAAGACCUCGGGAACGUAGCUCCUCUCGGGGAGUGUUAUAGCCCGGGGUGGAAUGCGGCCAGCCUGGACUGAGGAUCUCGCUUCGGCUAGGAUGCUGGCGUAAUGGCUGUAAGCGGCCCGUCUUGAAACACGGACCAAGGAGUCUAACAUCUAUGCGAGUGUUUGGGUGUCAAACCCAUGCGCGUAAUGAAAGUGAACGGAGGUGGGAACCCUCACGGGUGCACCAUCGACCGAUCCUGAUGUCUUCGGAUGGAUUUGAGUAAGAGCAUAGCUGUUGGGACCCGAAAGAUGGUGAACUAUGCCUGAAUAGGGUGAAGCCAGAGGAAACUCUGGUGGAGGCUCGCAGCGGUUCUGACGUGCAAAUCGAUCGUCAAAUUUGGGUAUAGGGGCGAAAGACUAAUCGAACCAUCUAGUAGCU